GUGAUCGGUGAAACAGAAAUCAUUUAUUGGCCAAUAGCCUGUCAUUCACAGCUUUCCCGACUCCAUUCUGUUAGUUUUUCCCGGUUGCCCUGCAGCAUCCAGCUUUUGUGAAUAGUAACAGCGUCAGAGGUGCCUUUUAUUUUGAUACUUCCUUUCAGCUGGUAACAGAGGUACUUCUGCAGUGCGUUGUGGGUAGUGGCAUAGCAAAGCUCAUUUCCCGUGACAGACGGUUCUGGCUGUGGCCUUUUGAACGGAGGGAUGUUCCGCCACCUGAACAGGUGCACAGCCCCCCCCCGGAGCUUGUGACCGCGAACCGUGAGAGCUGCUGAAGGAUUAAGGCGGUAUGUAAAAACAGACGCCGGGGAGAUGCGUGGUACGCUUGUAUCAGUGUGCACAUGGUUCGCAUUUUCCCCAAAUCCUACCGUGCUGUCUCUCAGACGUACCCAGGGACGGGAGAGGCCUCAGACGGUUGGCCCAGGCACGGAAAUCCCGAUUUAGAUGCGACAGGGAGAUGAACCCGGACCGUAUCUGGGUUUGCGGGGCAAUCUGUAUCAAAUCAGGCCCCCUCUCUCUCUUAUUAAAGAUUUUAAGCGCAUGUUGCCUUUGGAAUUUUUCAAAGGCUUCUUUGGGAAGUUGUUACGUUGGAAAUUGAAAUAACCGACCCAGACGAAGGGGACACAACGCCAUCUGUCUAAACAGAAGAGGGCUUAGUGUGGAUGUCUCCAGGCGAAACGCUAACUAGCUCAUACCUCUCCUUCUGAUUGUUUCUUUGUGUCUUGUUAUUGUAAGCUGCUGAAUAAAUACAAUAUAAUUUG
Molecule: long non-coding RNA, 815 nt
Organism: Anguilla rostrata (American eel)
Lineage: Eukaryota; Metazoa; Chordata; Actinopteri; Anguilliformes; Anguillidae
Exons: 2
Source: RefSeq, a predicted model, not a curated record